RNAcentral lists this ribosomal RNA (486 nucleotides) under uncultured bacterium. RNAcentral describes it as "partial 16S ribosomal RNA". It matches the Rfam family "Bacterial small subunit ribosomal RNA", at positions 28 to 507 of the family's 1533-position model. The record is from RNAcentral.
GACGAACGCUGGCGGCGUGCUUAACACAUGCAAGUCGAACGCUGAAGACCUGGCUUUUGUUGGGUUGGAUGAGUGGCGAACGGGUGAGUAACACGUGAGUAACCUGCCCUCUUCUUUGGGAUAACGCCCGGAAACGGGUGCUAAUACUGGAUAUUCACUGAUCUUCGCAUGGGGGUUGGUGGAAAGGGUUGUUCUGGUGGGGGAUGGGCUCGCGGCCUAUCAGCUUGUUGGUGGGGUGAUGGCCUACCAAGGCUUUGACGGGUAGCAGGCCUGAGAGGGUGCCCGGUCACUUUGGGACUGAGCUACGGCCCAGACUCCUACGGGGGGCGGCAGUGGGGAAUAUUGCACAAUGGGCGAAAGCCUGAUGCAGCGACGCCGCGUGAGGUAUGGAGGCCUUCGGGUUGUAAACCUCUUUCGCUCAUGGUCAAGCCGCAACUGUGGGUUGUGGUGAGGGUAGUGGGUAAAGAAGCGCCGGCUAACUACGUG